Symphalangus syndactylus (siamang) is the source of this 11371-nucleotide long non-coding RNA. RefSeq lists it as uncharacterized. Lineage: Eukaryota; Metazoa; Chordata; Mammalia; Primates; Hylobatidae. The record is from RefSeq and is a predicted model, not a curated record.
GCCAUACCCCUGCUCACUGCAGCAAGCGGUGCAGUCAGGAGCCGGCUUCAUCCCAGUUUCACCAAGAUGCCGCAGCAGUCAGCUGUUCGGGAAGCUGGGCACACAGCCCUACUGGGUGCCAGGUGGGCUUGGCCUGCAGCAGGAGCAGGGGCAGGGAAGGACGUGCCUGCUUUCCCUUCAUCUUCCACCGUGAUUCUAAGUUUCCUGAGGCCUCCCCAGCCAUGCCUCCUGGACAGCCUGCAGAACCACUGUCAGCCCCACGGGAAGAGGCCCCGCUGCCAGGACCUGCCAGCCCAGAGCCCUCUCACCAUGAGCAGUUGAAUGAAUCAACGCAUGCAGGGACAAACCUGUGCGCGCCAAUGCUCAGCCUCGGGAAAUCUGUGCGCGCGAAAAUGCUCAGCCUCGGGAAACCUGUGCGCGCGAAUGCUCAGCCUCGGGAAACCUGUGCGCGCGAAUGCUCAGCCUCGGAAAACCUGUGCGCGCGAAUGCUCAGCCUCGGGGCCCUGGCUGCACUCUUGGCCCGGGACCUUCCUGCUCCCCUGGCCCCCCUGGUCUGCCCAUCCUCCUCUGUCCCGACUCAGCUCAAACACGCCUUCUGGGGAUCCCCCUGGCCCACCCAGGCCAGGCGGCCAGGCAGGGCAUGGGCUCCAGAACUCUUAGCGUGGUUUUCAAUCACAGUCGGGCUAAGUGUAUCAGGGCUGCGUGCAGGGCUUGGAGCUGGGGGAGUGUGUCCCUAGCGAAGGGCUCUUCUCCCACCCGCCCCUCACCCCUGCUGAGUCUCCCUCCCUACCCCUGUGGGGCAACUUGGGUGGGCCCAUGGGUCCUGGGGGCACUUGGGAGGUGUCAGGGCAGGCUCGUGGGGUUAUCUAGGAGCCUAGUCCAAUCUAAAUCACAACUUCCCCUCUGCAGCUUCAGCCUUCAGCCCUCUUCUUCCUGCCGAGGCGAGGGGGCUGCUGGGAGGUUUUGGUCCUGCAGACUCCAGAGUCGCUGGGAGGAGGGGAGAGUAUGUCGGCCCCAGGUCCCCGGCUCUGCUCCUGCGUUCUGGCCUCCGGUUUCUCUGGGGUAGGAGAGGAGGGCAGGGAUCCUGUGAAUAAAAUGGCACAGAUGUGCUUCCACGAAUUUCCUGCUGAGAGUCCAUGAGCGUCGCAAGGAUUUGGGCAUGCAUGUCAUGUCAUGAUCUGUUCAGAGUACCGUCACCAGCAACAAAGCAUGGCUCGGCACGCGGGCAAAACUGCACCAACCACCAUGCAUGGACACAGCACCCAUCUAGCCCUGAUCUGGUGGUUUGUUUGCGUCCCCUUGCUGUGCCCCACCCAAGGAGGAUGGGGGGUUCAGUGUGUCAAAAAAUAAAGUCCGGACUCAUAGAAAAUAUUAUUAUACUGUGGAGACAGGUCCUUUUUUUUUUUUUUUUUAACCAUUUUAAAUAUGGAAGAGCCAGGCCUGGAGAGGUGAGCUAACCUGCCCAGAUCCCACAGUGGGGGUAGGACAGGCUGGGGCUGGACCUUAGCCCCCUUGUCCCAGGCCCAGGCUCCCUGCUCCUUUUGGCUGGAAACCUCCAGCUCUAAGGGCUAGUAGGGGUUCCUCAGGGCUGGGCUCUUAGCUUCUGGGGGCCAGGGGAGUUGGGGCAGUGCCAGGAGUCCAGGGAUGGUAGCAUUUGGUUUUUCCAGCCAAUGCAGAAACAGCACCUGCUAUAACCCCAGAGGCCAGAGGACUUCCAAGAAUGUCCUGCUCAGACUGGGGGCCCCUGCUGGAGGGGUGGGGCCAGAGACAGCAACCCCCAGGUUUCCUUUAUCAGAGUGGAGGAUGGGCCGUCCCCUGAAACCAGAGCCCGUGAGGUGCGGGAGCUUCCCUGCUCUGAGGAUGGCUCACCAAGUGCCUCUGCAUGGACACUUGUCCCCCCCAAAUUUCCUACAAGAGACACGAGGCAGAGCUGCCAUUUGUCCCUGUUAGAAAGGAGGCUCUCCGCAGGUGGGGGCGCCCUGGGGUGCCCUGGCUUCUCGCUGGUUCAUCCCCGGGCCCCUUCUUUCUUUCUGCUCCCACUUCCCCAGGCUCGGGGGCUGUGUCCCCUCAAUGUGCCGAUGAGGGCACGACAUCUUGGUUGCUGAGCAACCAAGACACGAACCAGAGCCCCAGGGCUUCCUGUAGGGGCUGACGUGGCUGGGCCUCGCUAGAGUGACCAGGUCUCCACCUCUGUCUAGGCCCUGGGUUUUCUUGUCCUUGUGUUUGUGUGACGGCCACAGGGCUGGUGCCUCCGACCUACUGGGAACUGUGCCUGAGCGGGUCUGUGCUCAGCGUCUGCUGAGUCUCUGGGCCUGGCAGAGGCUGCUUAGGAGGCCAAGCACGGAGCACCCCUGACGCCCAUGGAGUCCCAGUGAGACAGUGCUGAACUGUGAAAUACACUCCAACUUGUCCAAGACAGCUUGGUUUUGUCUCCGUUUAUUCCCCAGAAGCCCCUUUUAUUCAUAUUUUACCUACUUUUGGGUGCCCCAGACACAUGCCAGCUCUGAUCCCUGGGGGAGCCAGCCCUUGGCCUGCCUGCAAAGGCCCCAGGCUCCUGGGAGGCCCCAUGUGGGGGUACACAGCGCUCCCAGAGCUGGAAGCCUGCGCCAUCCUCCCUAGGGGAGUGGCUGUCUCUCUGUCUCUGCCUGGGGGCCACUGCUCCAGAAGCUCUUUUUGGGAUCUGCUUUCACCUCUUUUCUUUCUGGGCUGCUUCCUCACCCCUUCCUCAUUUUUUGUUUUAAUGAGAAAAGGUCUUGCCCUGACAUCCAGGCUAGAGUGCAGUGGUGCAAUCACAGCUCACUCCUGGGGUCAAACGAUCCUUCCUUCUCAGCCUCCCGAAAAGCUGGGAUUACGGGUGCAUGCCACCAUGCCCGGCCUCAUUUUUUUUUAUUAUGAAAGUUUUCAAGCAUUCAACAUUUCAAGCAAAGAAUGAAAUAAUAGAACAUGAUUACCCAUACAGCCACCACCUGGAUUCAACAAUGCACUCAUGUUUCCUCCCGGCUCCCUCUCUGCAGCACGGCCAGGGAUGUGGCACCUCGGCUGGAGGCUGCAGCUCCUCUCAAAGGACUCUGCCUAGAACUGCUCUCUCAGAGCCCAGAAUCUUCCCCGUUCCUUUUUCAGACCAGUGAGUGGGAGUAAUGGCUCCCACUGCCACUAGCUCUGUGGGCAUACUGUUCAUCUCGAGUCCCUAACCCUGUCCAGACAGUAUGUAAAUUGUCCCUCUACUUCACGUCCCCAGACUCCCAGUCGGACUGGCUUUGUGACUGACGUCUCUGUGUCUCCUCCUCUCUCCUCCUUUCUUUUCCUCUUUUCGUGUCUUCCUCCUCCUCCUGCCUCCUUUCUGGUCUAAUAACCACUUGGAAGGAAGCUGCAGGCCUCCUGAAACUUGACCUCCAAACAGGCAGACAUCCCUCUCCUGAGAAUAAGGACAGUUCCCUUCAGAACCACAGCAUCGGCACCCGAGACACCUGAUCAUCCCCUCCCAUCCCCUCCCAUUGCCUGGGAUCCAGUCCAUAAGUGAAUUUCCUAAUUGUUCACCUGACCAUCCCGUCCCAUCCCCUGGGAUCCGGUCCACAUGCGAAUUUCCUAAUUGUUCAAAACGGUCCCUUAUGCUUAUUUUUGAAGUAGUGCGUGAUUGCACCUGGUGUGUCUGGCUCAGUCUUGGAAUCUCUUUAUGCCAGGACAUGCCCAUCUUCUAUUUCCCCACGACGCUGACUUUGUGGACCCAGUGCCUGGCAGCCCGUCCUGUUGCGGGGUCCCUCUUCCCCUGGGUGGCACCCCCAAAGGCUGGUUCAGGGUCAGGUCAGCCUUUCAGAGAAGAGUGCUCCCUGCAUAGUCCUGCUGCUGAGGCCACAUUACCUCCUGCGAGGGGCAUUGCUAAGGCCGGUGGGUUCCUUCAGCAAACCCGCCCUGGCUCCUGCUGCCUUAGGACCAGUGGCACAGGCCCAGCCUUGCCCACGGCGCCCCCCCUUGAGGCCACAAGUGCGGCUCAGGAGGCCCAAGUGUGCACAGUGAGCUCAUGCCCACUUCCAGCCAACAACCCUCUUGCCUGGUGACACUUCCCUGGGCUGCUGGACCUGCGAAAGCCCCAAAUGCCAAACAUUCCCACCUCACAUGAUCCCAGAGAGAGGGGACCCGAUGUUCCCAGCUUGCAGCUGAGGAGCCCGAAGUUGCCGUCAGAUCAGAACCCCAGCUGCCCGGUCUGCCGCAGCUCUGCUAGGUGUGACGGGGUCAGUAGGGCCCAAUGCCCUCGUGCAGCCCGGCCCCGCCCCAUGCUGGGGGUUCACACGGUGACCUCUUUCCCUUCCUUGACCGAGGAUCUUCACUGGGCAGUAGACAGGCAAUGCCCAGGGUCUUCUGGCCUAUGUGGCCUCCCGGCCUGGAGAUGCUGUGCCUGGUCGGGGACCUGGUCUGGUGGGGAGGCAGUGGCCUGGGGUUUUCUCUUGGCCGUGUGCUCCCCUAGGCCUGAUGGAGCCCAGCCUCCCGGGCACUGACAAUCAGGUCACAGUUAAAACAAAGCACCAGUGGGCGGCAGGGUGCAGUGCCUCUUCGCCACCGAGAUUUCACCCGUUCACUGACCUCCUCUUCCUCCUGUUCCUGGGAGCCACCACGAGUCCAAGCACUGCUGGAUGGUGCAGAGAACAGCAGCCCAAGUCUAGCGUGCUGACCGGCGGCAGCCUGCACUGCGGCUGAGGAUGAAAUCACCGUGUUCGAAUCCCAGCCCUGAGAGCCAGCCGGAGUGGCCCAGAUGUUUCCACUCAGGGUUUGGCAAAGGCACCGCCAGGAGGAGGACAAGAGCGGAGAAAGGCGACUGUCCGGGCACGGCAGGAAGAUGGGAGCUGCUGCCCUUCAGACAGCUGCCGUUGGAGCCCCCCAAGGGUUCCUUUGGAUCAGCCCUGGCCCGAGACCUUUCCAGGGAGGCAGGCUCCUGGUGGCUCUUCUGAGCACCCAUCGUUUGUAACCACAGAACCAGGGCGCAGAGCCCCGGGCACAGAGCUGUGUGCUGCCCGAGGAAAUGAGGAUCUGUAGGCUGAAGCAUCUCUCGGGCAUGCCGCCCCCGCUGAGGGUCUCCGGAGAACAGGAGCCUCCAGGGUUUGGUGGUGUCUAUGGAAGGAGUUCCUAGGCUGCCAGAAUUCAGAAAGACAGUGCGAGGGGUCGAGGCUGCCCUAGGAACCCUCGACCCACCCUGUAUCACUGUGAAUUUUCAGGAGUGCCACAGGUUUGAAGGAGCCCAACUUUAAUGCUUUAAACUCAGUGAUUCAUUGGUGGAAAUCUUGUCUCACUCCAUGAGGAUGUGAGGUGGUUCUCGGGAAACUGUACAGUGAAGAAUUAAAGUGAGAAGACGCUAGGAAAACUCUGAGCCAGAUGCUUGGGAACUGGAGCCUGGAGAUGGUUACACAACCUUGGGAAUCUACUAAAUGCCCCCAAACUGCACGGAGCAAAGUGGUUAAAAUGGUACAUUUUAUGUUACGUGUAUUCUGCAAUAAUUAAAAAAAAGCAAAACCAAACCAAAACAAAACAAGAAAACAACUCUGGGCUGGGGAAAAUUCCAACUAGAGCGGGGGGAAGGAGAAGAGAGGGCCGGGCCCAAGUCCUCCCAGCUGGCGGGGUGGAGCUGUGGCUCGUGGCCCCCUCUUCUGCCUGCAGCCAAAGGGAGAAGAAAACUGUCCAUUUGCCGUCAUUCUGAAAAGAUAAAUUGAGCUGCUACGUGCCAGGCCCUGUGCUGGAGACACGACACUGAUGAUGAAACCAAAACAGUCCCACCCUCAGGGAGCCCCCACUGUGGGGAGCCCCCGUACACUUGUCCCUCUUCACGGGGACAGCAAUGUGAGUUCCUCCAGGUGGAAGUCCGUUUUCAGGCAGUGCGUCUCCAAGAGAUUUCACACAACCUCGUGGGGAAGGGGGCUUUGGGACCACGCAUGGCCCAGACAGGCACUAGGAACAAGCUAAGAAGAGAGACCUGGUGGUCCGGUGGUGGAACUGGGACAAUGGAGUGGAAUGUCCAGCCGUGCCAGGAGGUGAGUCACUGAGUGGAAGGCCCAGGGCGAUGGAGAGGGGACAUCAGAUGGCAGCAGCAGAGGUUCCCGAAGCUUUCUGGAGCCAGGGAAGGUCUGUGUGUGCAGGAAGGGUGUUGAGGGCUGGAGGCUACUGGGCUCUCUGGGAGGGAGGGGCUGAGCUGCUCAGGGGAAGAACAUCCGGGAAGCCCAGCUUGAGAAUUGGAGCUGCCUGUAAUCCCAGCACUUUGGGAGGCCGAGGCAGGCAGAUCACGAGGUCAGGAGAUGGAGACCAUCCUGGCUAACACGGUGAAACCCCAUCUCUACUAAAAAUACAAAAAAUUAGCCGGGUGUGGUGGCGGGUGCCUGUAGUCCCAGCUACUUGGGAGGCUGAGGCAGGAGAAUGGCGUGAACCCGGGAGGCGGAGCUUGCAGUGAGCCGAGAUUGCGCCACUGCACUCCAGCCUGGGCGACAGUGUGAGACUCCGUCUCAAAAAAAAAAAAAAAAAAAAAAGGAGCAUCUCCCAUGGGCAGGCCCCGUGGGGAAAGGGCCGUGUGCAGAGAUGCAUUGCAGAAGGUCUCAGAAGACCAAGGUUUAUUGGGAGCAGGGUUUGGGGACUUCCCUUGGGGAUAGGAGGAACCACCAGCAAGUGCAGGAGGCUUCACGUAGGCAUCUAGCUUGUGAGGAAGGAGCAACUGAUGAGUGGAUACAUGUGCCUCCUCACCUGGCAUCAUGUUUUCCAUGUCAUUCUUAUUGAAGCAUGAAUUGGAGCUCCAUUCCUCUUCAUGGCUGAGUAAUACUCCAUCAAAUGGGUGGAAUACAUUUUAUUUAUCCAUUCGUCAAUCAUCUUAGGAGGAAGCGUCCCCAUUCUGUGCAUAAGGAAGAGAUGUCCAGAGAGGUUGAAUAACUCACUGAUGGCUUCACACUGCUGCAUGGUGGAGCUGGGAUUUGAGCCCUCCUCUGUCCAUGUCAAAGCCUUUGUCCUAUGAUGAGGCUCUAGUGAAAAUCGCCCAAACACCUAGAAGGUCUGGACAAAUUGCAACAAACAUCCCCUCAAAGUCAUAAAUGAUUACAGAAGAAAAUAAGCUUUCUGAGAGGGAGGGUGAGGAAGCAGGCAUUGAAAACCAAGCACGGCGUGACCCAUGAGCCCUCGGGACUCCUUGGGAUCUUUGCCAAAACCAGCUCCUAGAAUUAGAGACGGGGGCAAGGGCUGGGGCCAGUAGUGCGUGGAGAGUCAGGGCUCAGAUGAAAGAGGAGGUUGGACCUCUGGAAGGGUGACACCCCUGGGGAAAGAGUGGUCUGUUUUCUGGGACAGUUUUGUUGAGAUACAAUUCACAUCCCAGGCAAUCCACCCACUUAAGGUGUUGUCCUCAGUCAGUGGUUUUUAGCAUAUUCACAAGGUUGUGCAACCAGCACCUCAAUAUAUCUUAGAACAUCUUCAUCCCUUCGAAAGGAAACCCCAUUCACAUUCUCCCAACUCCUUCCCUCAGCAGUCACGAAUCUACUUUUGGUCUCCAUGGAUUUGCCAAUUCUGGGCAUUUCAUAUAAUGGGAAUCAGGCAGUAUGUGGCCUUUUGUGUCUGUCUGCUUUCACUCAGUGUCAUGCUCUCAGGGUUCAUUCUUGCUGUAGCAUGAAUCAGUACUCUGGGCCUUUUGAUGGCUAAUACUCUGUUGUAUGGGUGUAAUACAUUUUAUUUAUCCAUUCAUCAAUUGGUGAAUGUGGGGGUUAUUUUCACUUCUUGGCAGCUACAAAUAAUGCUUCCAUGAACACCCAUGUGCAAAUUUUUGUGUGAAUAGACGUUUUCAUUUCAGAAGUUGAAUUUCUUGAUUAUGUGUUAACUCUAUGUUUAAUAUAUGAGGAACUGCCAGACUGUUCUCUCACAGUGGCUGCGUUAUUUUACAUUCCCUCCAGCAGUCUAUACAAGUUCUGAUUCCUUUACCCGCUCACCAACACUGGUUAUCAUCUGUCUUUUCCAUAACAGCCAUCCCAGUGGGUGUGAAGAGGUAUCUCAUUGUUGUUUUGAUUUGUAUUUCCCUGACAGUGAAUGAUGUUGAGCAUCUUUUCAUGUGCUUGCUGGCCAUUUGCAAAUCUCCUUUGGAGAAAUGUCUAUUCAGAUCUUUUUCCCUUUUAAAAAUUACAUUAUUUGUCUUUUUAUUGUUGUGGUUGAAGAGUUCUUUAUAUAUUUUGAAUAUACAAGUCGCUAAUCAGGAAUGUCAUUUGCAAUGAUUUUCUCCUAUUUUAUGGGUUAUCUUUUCAAUUUCUUGACAUUAUUAUUUACAGCAUGGAGUUUUAAAUUUUGAUGCAGUCCAGUUUUUCUCUCUCUAGUUUUUGUCAUUGUGCUGAUCUACUUUAUUUUUGGGACAGGGUCUUAUUGUAUUGCCCAGGCUGGUCUGAAAUUCCUGGGCUCAAGUGACUUUCCCACCUUAGCCACCCAAUAAGCUAGGAUUACAGGAAUGGGCUGCAGAACCUGGCUGUGACCUCUUUUUGUUAUUUUUUUAAACUUUUUGCUCUGUCUCUGAGAAUUCAUAAUCAUACAUCUUCUCUCAUAUGAGUUCAGUGUUCAAAUUUGUACCAACUAUAUAGUUUAUGAAACUCUUAACUUGGGGAUGAAGUUAAAAAUGUUUAAGAUGAUUGCAGAUGCAUACAAGUGCAGAUGCACGCUAUACAGUUCCCUCUGUUUUCCCCAAGAUUAAUACCAGCCAAAAAUUAACUCACAAUCCAAAAUUAGAGACCAUGGAUGGAGGCAAACCACCUCAGGCACAAGUCAGCAGAGAAAACAACAGCAGUGCUCAAGCCUUAUGGAUUUCAGAUAUUGAUAGUAUCAGAUAUAAAACACACUGAUAAGUGUGUUUAAAGAAAUAAAGAAAUCAAACAUGAGAAAAUAUCAACAGUCAUGAGUAAUUUUUUCAAAAAUAAUCCAAAUAGGCCUUUAGAAAUAGAAAAUAUAAGCAUUCAAUUGAAAACUUAUUGGAUGGGCUUAAAAGAAGAUUAGAUACCACUGAGGGGGAAUUAGUGAACUAGAAGAUAUAGCCAAAAAUUAUUCAGAAAAUAGUGGAGAGAGACAGCACAGAAAGUAUAGAAGAGGGACUGAGAGACAUUUCAGAAGAUGUCUUAUUUAUUGCAGCAUAACAAAUUACCUCCAAAGUUAAGGUUCAAAACAACAGCAAUCACUUCUCAUUUCUCACUCCUUCUGUGCGUAAGGAACUGAGAAUCUCGGUUGGGCUGUGCUUGGGGUCUCAUAAGGUCAAAGGUAGUUGAUGGCUGGGGCUGCCAUUAUCUGAAAGCUCAACUGGGGCUGAGGAUCCACUCACAUGGCAGGAAAAUUGGUGUAGGUUGCUUGCCAGGGCUCUUAAUUCCUUUCCACCUGGGCCUCUCCAUGGGCUGCUUGGGUGUCCUCAGAGUGGCAGGGAGGCAUGGUGCCCAACUUCCUUAAAGUGAGAGAUUCAAGUGGGUGUGUUUGUGUGUGGGGGAAGCUGCAAGGGCUUUUCAGAUCCAGUCUUGGAUGUCACACAGUCACUCCUGCCACACUGUGUUGGUCAUGCAGGUCAGCUCUGAUUCUGUUGUGAGGGGCCCACCAUCAUGGAGGCCAGCUACCACAGAAAGAGAGAAGGGGGAAGAUGGAUACAGCAGUAAUUAAAGCAAUGGUAGCUGAGAGUUUUCUGUAACUGAUGAAAGACAUGCAUCCUCAGAUUCAAGAAGCCCCAUCAAGGCAAACUGGGUAUUUACUAUGUGACAUUUAGACAUAGAGUAAAUAUGUGCUAAAAGUGAAGAGAAGAUCCUGUAAGCAACCAUACAAAAGACAGAUUCCCUAUCAGAGAGCAUCUAGGCUGCCAGCCAAUUUCCAACAAUAACAACAAAAGCCCCAAACAAAAAGCCCCAAACAAUUAGAAAAUAUCUUCAAAGUGCUCCAAAAGAACUGUUAACUUCAAUUCUGUACCAGAUAAAUGUCAUUGAAAUCAUGGUGGAUAAGGAAAAUUUCAGACAAACUAAAGCUGAGCUAGAUCUUCCUCACAGACCCACUCUAAAACAACUUGUAAAUAACAUAAAUCAAGAGGAAAGAAAAUGAUUCCAGAAGGGAGAAUGAGAUGCCAGAAGGAGUGACAUGAGAACGAAUCGUUUAGAUUUACUCACACAUUCAUCCAAGGCCGACUGAGUAAGUACUCUUGGGCAGUCAGCAGGGGAGCAGGGAGUAGAACAGAAAGGAAGUUGGCCAAGGGGGAGGCUCUCAGCAAAGCCUGAAGAGUGAAGAGUAGGGCUUCGGCCUGGCUGUUACCCCACUCUGGGGAGGGGCUGGGUCUUUAUGAUUCCCACCCUCAGGCCUGGUCAGGAGUCGGUGGAGGGCAGCCACCGUUCCCUCUGAUUCUUCCAACCUAUGAGAAAAAAUGGGCUGCAAUAUCCUAAGGGCAAAAAAUAAAAAUAUAAAUAAAUACAAAGACCUAGAAUUGCUGCUGUUGGAAGCAAAAGUCCACUGACACCAGAGGGUGCUCAAGAAAUGGUAUAAAGAGGAGGCCUGGCCACACAUCAGCCUUGUCUACUUUGACUGCAUUAAAUAAUAUCCAGUUUGAAAGAUUAAAAAAAAAAGAACUAAAAUAUCAGCCGCAGCUAACAGGAGGUGAGAGGAUUUGGUGGCAGUUAAAGUGUCUUGGGUUCCUUGUACUGUUUAAGAGAAAGAGAGAGAAAUCAAUUUCAGGCUUAGGUAUGCAUGUCAAAAUGGUGCAGACAACGGCUAAACAUAAACUGAAAUAAAACGGUUUACUGCCAAACAGCAGAGGGGAAAAACAGAAUGAAAUUGACAGGCUGGAAAAACAUAUGAAACCCAGGUAUGUGCUGUUUUUGGAAGAAGUUUCUCGUAAGGAAAGAGAAUCAAGGCAGGACCCAGGUCUGUUACGGUGGAGCCUUGGGUCACCCUGCCAGCCGAGGCCAUGGCAGAGGACAAGAGGAACGCAGAACCUGUGUUGGGAGAAAGGAGCCGGGAGUGCUGACCUGGGUGUGAGGCCAGCUCUGGAAGCAGGAUGGUGGCAGCUCUGCUGCUGUUAUUUCCUUCCCGCCUCUGCUCUUUCCACUCCGCUUAUGCAAAGAUCCUUGGUGGCAGCUGAUCUGUCACAUCUCACGAGGAGCCGUGUCCCGACACCACCCAUGAUGACAUGGUAGCACGUGGAGGACAGCAAGUUUUGAGCCAGAUGAAGGACAGGAGUACAUGGAUGUUGAGGGGCAAAAGGGGUGGAAUGUAUUGGGUGUUUUUUUUUUCUUUUUUUAAAAUGGCUUUAUUGAAAUAUAUUUUAUAUACCAAACAACUCACCCAUUUAAAAUGUACGAUUCAAUGUUUUUUGGUCUGUUAUUAUUUUUUAAAAUUGUGGUAAAAUAUAUAAAACAUACAA